AGUAAGCUGUUGGAAGUGUGAGCGAAGUAAUGUUUUUCGUUGUUGUAAAGCAGGCGAUUGAGAAUGAUAGUUUUGAAGUACGUUUGGCUGGUGGACGUCGUACAUUUCAUUGCGAUUCUUGUACGGGCAGUUAUGGAUUAAUUAUGUCUAUUCGGGCUUCACAACAUACGUGCUUGCGGAGCAAGCUGUGAGCAGCAAGGCGCAAGCACGGAGCAGCGCGAGCACGCUACCCCCACUACCGGACCAGAGCGGAGAGUGGGGAGAGUCACGUGGGGCACACAACAGCUGCCGCCAGUCAAUGUAAAUCUGCAGCCACCUGCAGGGAUAUCACUCACGAAUUAUUACUGCGACAAAUGAAACAAAUAAAGGAGAAUGUACACAUGCCACAUAAUUUUAUUAGCUUAGUGUAUACCUCUACAUUCGCAUUAAUUUGUGAACUGUUACACAAUAAAAGGUGUCACUGAAGUGUGGGAUUCUCGGUUAUCUUACUUUUCGCUCUUUACAAUUGCGUCUAUGUUCGGAGUAAUUGUUCUUGUGCAUUUUAGGCGCAGCGUGCAGUUUAAAUUUUGAUCAAACAAUGCGUUUCUCAGGCGCGUCUUGUUACAUUUCACUGCAGAGAACAGUGGUUCACAAACAUACGUGGAACCGAACACUGAUAUUAUUGUAGCCGCCAGUUUGUAUAAACGAGGAAAUCUAUCCUGAGGGAAGUGUCUGUAGAAUUCCAAAAUGUUUUUCUUGUUCUGAAAUUUGUCUGUAUUCUCUGUCACACUGCAGGUCAAUAAUUUCUUGCUGCAGCUCAGGACGAAUCUCUUAAAUAUUCGCUGAAUAUGGAGAGAACAGAUCUUGAAAGUGCUGAUCAACUAAACUAUGUGAAUAACGUUCACAGUCUUUGUGAACAUCUUGCAUGGAUGAUAAUUUAGGAAAAUGAGCUAGGUUUCCUGUUUCCAGCUGACUCACCCAAAGUGUCAAUUUCAUUUUAAAAGCUCGUAUUCGAUCUAUGAAAUGAGUAAUUAGCAGAUCUUUACCUUAUAGUAAAAUGUUCAAAGCAUUCAGAUGGCUAGUUAAAUCUGCUAAGAACGCGAGAUCACAUUCAAACGUGCGCGCGGAUUUCCCCUCCCUCCCUACUCCGAGACCUUGCACCUGCUCGCGAGCACGUGCCUGAGCAGACGCGAGUACUCGCGCUCAAAACUGGCCAGUUGUUAAGCCCUGCUCUAACAUAACAAAAUAUGUUUGCUUCAUUUUUUCAGUUUAAUUUUAUUGAAAAUUAUGUCAGUAACUUUGUGUUUUUCAGUUACUUCAGACAUUUGGGGUGUAAAAAAAAAAAUACCUUUAAGUUCAGUGCAUUAAUCCCAUUGUGAUGAAUAAAUUAAGGUCAGUCAAUAAACAGUAGUUUCAUCUAAACAG
This is a long non-coding RNA of Schistocerca cancellata (South American locust), 1404 nucleotides long. RefSeq lists it as uncharacterized. The transcript has 2 exons. NCBI's taxonomy places the organism in Eukaryota, Metazoa, Arthropoda, Insecta, Orthoptera, Acrididae. The record is from RefSeq and is a predicted model, not a curated record.